This 253-nucleotide ribosomal RNA is filed under the name uncultured bacterium. Its description in RNAcentral is "partial 16S ribosomal RNA". It matches the Rfam family "Bacterial small subunit ribosomal RNA", at positions 524 to 776 of the family's 1533-position model. The record is from RNAcentral.
UACGGAGGGUCCAAGCGUUGUUCGGAAUGACUGGGCGUAAAGCGCUCGUAGGCGGGACUGUAAGUCGGACGUGAAAGCCCAGGGCUCAACCCUGGAAUUGCGCUUGAAACUGCAGAUCUUGAAUGCUUGAGAGGGUGAUAGAAUUCUAGGUGUAGGAGUGAAAUCCGUAGAUAUCUAGAGGAAUACCGGAGGCGAAGGCGGUCACCUGGCAAGACAUUGACGCUGAGGAGCGAAAGCGUGGGGAGCAAACAGG